RNAcentral lists this ribosomal RNA (253 nucleotides) under uncultured bacterium. RNAcentral's name for it is "partial 16S ribosomal RNA". It matches the Rfam family "Bacterial small subunit ribosomal RNA", at positions 524 to 776 of the family's 1533-position model. The record is from RNAcentral.
GACAGAAGUGCCGAGCGUUAGGCGGAAUCACUGGGCUUAAAGCGUGUGUAGGCGGACCGUUAAGUACCUUGUGAAAUCCCCCGGCUCAACCGGGGAACGGCUGGGUAUACUGGCGGUCUUGAGCCAUCCAGGGGCAGUCGGAACAGACGGUGGAGCGGUGAAAUGCGUAGAUAUCGUCUGGAACGCCGAAGGUGAAAACAGACUGCUGGGGAUGAGCUGACGCUGAGACGCGAAAGCGUGGGGAGCGAACAGG